ACGGCGGACUGUGAGUACGCGUGGGAACGUGCCCUUCACUGCGGAAUAGCCUUGGGAAACCGAGGGUAAUACCGCAUACGCCCUUCGGGGGAAAGUUUUUCGGUGAAGGAUCGGCCCGCGUUGGAUUAGGUAGUUGGUGGGGUAAAAGCCUACCAAGCCGACGAUCCAUAGCUGGUUUGAGAGGAUGAUCAGCCACACUGGGACUGAGACACGGCCCAGACUCCUACGGGAGGCAGCAGUGGGGAAUCUUAGACAAUGGGGGAAACCCUGAUCUAGCCAUGCCGCGUGAGCGAAGAAGGCCUUAGGGUUGUAAAGCUCUUUCGCCGGGGAAGAUAAUGACGGUACCCGGUAAAGAAGCCCCGGCUAACUCCGUGCCAGCAGCCGCGGUAAUACGGAGGGGGCUAGCGUUGUUCGGAAUUACUGGGCGUAAAGCGCACGUAGGCGGAUCGGAAAGUUGGGGGUGAAAUCCCGGGGCUCAACCCCGGAACUGCCUUCAAAACUAUCGGUCUGGAGUUCGAGAGAGGUGAGUGGAAUUCCGAGUGUAGAGGUGAAAUUCGUAGAUAUUCGGAGGAACACCAGUGGCGAAGGCGACUCACUGGCUCGAUACUGACGCUGAAGUGCGAAAGCGUGG
Molecule: ribosomal RNA, 631 nt
Filed under: uncultured bacterium
Lineage: Bacteria
Description: bacterial SSU rRNA
Rfam family: Bacterial small subunit ribosomal RNA
Source: RNAcentral